AUUCCAUGAUGAGGGCAUCUUUGUAAUAGUUCUUUAAAUCUUUCCCACACCUCAUCUAAGGAUUCGUCAUCCAUCUGUUGGAAGGUAGUGAUCUCAUUCCGCAACU
Gossypium raimondii (Peruvian cotton) is the source of this 106-nucleotide small nucleolar RNA. It matches the Rfam family "Plant small nucleolar RNA R71". From Rfam's summary of the family: R71 is a member of the C/D box family of snoRNAs containing the C (UGAUGA) and D (CUGA) box motifs. Multiple nearly identical copies of this snoRNA have been identified in Arabidopsis, and it is thought to function as a 2'-O-ribose methylation guide for 18S ribosomal RNA. Lineage: Eukaryota; Viridiplantae; Streptophyta; Magnoliopsida; Malvales; Malvaceae. The record is from Rfam.